RNAcentral lists this ribosomal RNA (507 nucleotides) under uncultured bacterium. Its description in RNAcentral is "bacterial SSU rRNA". It matches the Rfam family "Bacterial small subunit ribosomal RNA", at positions 34 to 507 of the family's 1533-position model. The record is from RNAcentral.
CGCUGGCGGCGUGCUUAACACAUGCAAGUCGAACGAGAGGACAAGAGAAGCUUGCUUCUUUUGGAAUCGAGUGGCAAACGGGUGAGUAACACGUAAACAACCUGCCUUCAGGAUGGGGACAACAGACGGAAACGACUGCUAAUACCGAAUACGCUUGGGAGACCGCAUGAUCUACCAAGGAAAGGGUGGCCUCUACCUGUAAGCUAUCGCCUGAAGAGGGGUUUGCGUCUGAUUAGGCAGUUGGUGAGGUAACGGCCCACCAAACCUACGAUCAGUAGCCGGUCUGAGAGGAUGAACGGCCACACUGGAACUGAGACACGGUCCAGACUCCUACGGGAGGCAGCAGUGGGGAAUCUUCCGCAAUGGGCGAAAGCCUGACGGAGCAACGCCGCGUGAGUGAUGACGGCCUUCGGGUUGUAAAGCUCUGUGAUCGGGGACGAACGGUCCGUAAGCUAAUACCUUAUGGAAGUGACGGUACCCGAAUAGCAAGCCACGGCUAACUACGUG